Molecule: ribosomal RNA, 468 nt
Filed under: uncultured bacterium
Lineage: Bacteria
Description: partial 16S ribosomal RNA
Rfam family: Bacterial small subunit ribosomal RNA
Source: RNAcentral
GACGAACGCUGGCGGCGUGCUUAACACAUGCAAGUCGAACGGCAAGGCCCUGCUUUUGUGGGGUGCUCGAGUGGCGAACGGGUGAGUAACACGUGAGUAACCUGCCCUUGACUUUGGGAUAACUUCAGGAAACUGGGGCUAAUACCGGAUAGGAGCUCCUGCUGCAUGGUGGGGGUUGGAAAGUUUCGGCGGUUGGGGAUGGACUCGCGGCUUAUCAGCUUGUUGGUGGGGUAGUGGCUUACCAAGGCUUUGACGGGUAGCCGGCCUGAGAGGGUGACCGGCGACAUUGGGACUGAGAGACGGACCAGACGCCUACGGGAGGCAGCAGGGGGAAAUAUGGCACAAUGGGCGGAAGCCUGAGACAGCAACGCCGCGUGCGGGAUGACGGCCUUCGGGUUGUAAACCGCUUUCGCCUGUGACGAAGCGUGAGUGACGGUAAUGGGUAAAGAAGCACCGGCUAACUACGUG